Peromyscus maniculatus bairdii (prairie deer mouse) is the source of this 3002-nucleotide non-coding RNA. Lineage: Eukaryota; Metazoa; Chordata; Mammalia; Rodentia; Cricetidae. The record is from RefSeq and is a predicted model, not a curated record.
GAGCCAUCUUAGGGUGUGGCCGCUUCACAGAGUGGUCACGGGGACCCCUGUCCUCCGCUGUGUUGGGACUUCGGGUACUUGGAACUCACCAGCGGGUGCAGAUGGGCACCACGCUCACUGCCUUCCAUGCCUGCCUGCAGCCUCCCCAGGAUCUGCACCAGAGAGCGGGCAUGGGUAGCCCAGAAGCCACAGCUGUCGCCAGGGACCAGAGGCUGGACACAGAUCCAGAGAGAAGACCUGGAUUCAUUGGGCUCCGCAAUCAUUCAGCUCAACCUUGACACCAACCUGAAAAUGCAGACAUCCAAGCCGGGCUUGGGCAGACUUGGAGAAGGAAGCUUGGACUCCUACCCAGUCCGUGCUAGUCAAAAGCUCUACCUGAAGUCAAGUCUGGGUACCAGUGGCUACAAUUUACAGUCAUUGCUAGGGCUUCAGAUCUUGUGUAAUGGGGACAGAUGCCAUUCUAUGAGGACCAGAGAUUCCAGCCCCCAAGACUGUAAAGGUUUUCAGUCUGGUCCAUUUACCACAGCUCCAUCUCUCAGGUAGCAUAUGGACCUCCCUCUUGUCCACCUGAGGCUUUUGGCCCAGUGUUUAGUUACCAUGGUUACCAAUGUGCUUGCUUUAGCUGGUCUGAUGGCAAUUUCUGCUGUUCUAAAGAGAAUAUUUAUGAAUGCUUCAAGAGAAGUGCAAUGCAGAAUAUGAUCUCCUACCACACACCUCUGUCCCCUCUCAUGGCCACUUACAGUCUCUGCACUGCUGAGAGACCUCGAGCUAACAUCUCUUUGUUCAGCUCUGCCCAGUCUGGGUCGGGACAAUGUUCUCACCCAGAAGGGAAACCGGAGCUGGGAGCUGGGAGGUCGGCACACGCAGCCACAUCCCUGAGCGCUGGGAUGGAGAGCCUCAGCUCCCUGUCAUUGCUGACCACAUGUUCUUGGUGUGGCAAAGGGGACACGGGGUGGGGCCACUCAGACCCUACACACUUCACAGAACUCAUCCUCGGGAACCCUGGGAUAUGAGGCGUAAGCUCCUAGAGUGUCUCACUGUGGCCGUUCUGGAGAAAGAGGAACCACGGCAGGGAGAGACACACACACACAAUACUGUCAAACCGUUUGAGACACCGGAUCUCCAAGAACUAAAAUUUCCCCCAGAGUCUCGUCUCCCAGGAAGAGGUUUCACACAGUUCCCACAACUUGUCUGAAAGACUAGAGCCCAGACAAUGGUGGUGGGACUACACCUUGAACCAGACUGCUUAGCUAUGCAUACCGCCCGCCCUUUAUUUAAACCUGAACCUCGUGUGAGUUCCCCAAAGACAGACUUGGGGCACUUAUUUCUUCCCAAUAUGGCCACACUGGACACUCCUCCGCUUUCAGCUUCUCAUUAUUAUCUGUCUCUUUAACUGGUAUAUUGAGGACAAAUGGCGAAACUUAAUUUAUUGUGGCUGCCAGGGCCUGGGCUUUGACUCUAAUUAUUGUGGUCACAUCGCCAUGUGAUGAGCAUUAAUUUGUCCACCUGGGCCCGAGUGACGCCACUAGCAGGUGGGAUUAUGGGCUCACCUGGUUCUGCAUGUCUGAGCUCUGGGUCAGGCUCUAUAUUUUUGAUCGUUGAGGCCUGGGAUCUGAGAAGCCAAGGAUGGAUGACUGACCCCCAGUGACAACCCUGGAUUCUAAGGCUUGAGUAGCCUUUACUGGGGGACACCCCCUGCCCCCAGUAUUAUCAUAUACAGAGACCAGGCCCAUGGCCACUCAUGGACAGCCAGGCCAGUGUCUUCCUCUCCGCCCAGUGUCACAGAGAGUUGGGGUUCCUUCGGGGUGAGUGGUAGCUUAAAUAUACAUCACGAGUAAUGUGGCCCUGCCUGGCACGUGGUGAAAGAGCAGUAGAUGGUGACAUGGAAAAAUCCUGCCUGUAGGGCUGAGAGAUGGCCAGGUCAGUGAAGAGCUUGCCACACAGGCUCGAGGACCCGAGUCUCAUCUCCAGGACCUAGGUAAAAAGCCAGGCCCAGAGGGGCGGGGAGCGAUUGCGGACCACCGGUACCAGAAACCUAGUUCUGUGCAGGAGCUGCCAAGCUGGCUAAAAACGGAGAUGUUCCCUAUGGGAGUCAUGGCCCUCUUAUGGGAGGAGCUUGGGGAGAAUUCAGAAAGGAGCUGGGUAAGCCGAGAGGUGGGCUGUGUCAAGCAGACGCCAGGCUGAUGAGAAGGAAGGGUGGACUGGGAUGCAGGAGCCUGGACAGGGCCUGGGAGUCUGCAAAUCUAUGGGAUGUGCAGACUCCAGACCGGGACAGCUCACGGCAGGCUUGUCGGGAGGACACGGAGUACCCUGAAAAACCACUGGCACUUCGGAAGGGAAACCAGCCUUUGCUCGGGUCAUGGCCACGGAGGUAGAGGUGCUCUCUGAACUUGAGAGACAUCUGCCGUGGAGCCUAGGGACAAGCCGCACAGUGGACUCCUGUGUUUAAUGUGUCUGUGAUGUCUGCAAGAGCCAGGCAUCACAGGGCUCCCCUCCCAUGGCCUCUGGCCCCUGCCUGCCCCAUGUGCUUGAUCCUAGCUUACACUGAACUCCUUCUUGUGGAUUACUUGUGCUGAGUCAAACGGUACCAGGAAGAGCAAAGGGAACGCAAACAGAACCAGGAUGUUUACUAGGACCUGGGAGCCGCCUGUGUACAGAGACAUCAUGAGCUCAGGCCCUUGCCUAGCAUUCAGAGGGCCCUUACGUUCCAGCCCUGGAUCCCACAUACACACCAACAAAACCAGCAGGAAAACAACAGACUCCUUAGCUUUCCGCAGCCCUUCCGUACCCGAGUGGGGCAGCUGAGGCGCUUCACAAAACAAAUGGAAUAAAUUAAAUUUGUAAACUCUGUUUAAAAUGUCUGAGGGAAAUUUAAUUAGCAGGAUUGAUGGCGAGGUUUACCUGGCUGGGAGUUGGUCAAACAUGAAUCAGGGGCCCCUUCAAACAUGAUUUGAAAAUUCCCAGAUGUAUGCUAAAUAAAUAAAUAAGAUUCCUAAGUUGAA